UGGGGAAUAUUGGACAAUGGGCGCAAGCCUGAUCCAGCCAUACCGCGUGGGUGAAGAAGGCCUUCGGGUUGUAAAGCCCUUUGUUGGGAAAGAAAAGCAGCCGGUUAAUACCCGGUUGUUCUGACGGUACCCAAAGAAUAAGCACCGGCUAACUACGUGCCAGCAGCCGCGGUAAUACGUAGGCAGCAAGCGUUGUUCGGAGUUACUGGGCGUAAAGAGUGCGUAGGCGGUUUUCUAAGUUCGGUGUGAAAUCUCCCGGCUUAACUGGGAGGGUGCGCCGAAGACUGGGAAGCUGGAGUGUGGGAAAGGCAGGCGGAAUUCCUGGUGUAGCGGUGAAAUGCGUAGAUAUCAGGAGGAACACCGGCGGUGUAGACGGCUUGCUAGACCAUAACUGACGCUGAGGCACGAAAGCGUGGGUAGCAAACA
This 426-nucleotide ribosomal RNA is filed under the name uncultured bacterium. RNAcentral's name for it is "bacterial SSU rRNA". It matches the Rfam family "Bacterial small subunit ribosomal RNA", at positions 355 to 774 of the family's 1533-position model. The record is from RNAcentral.